GCGGCAUCGGUGUCCCUGGGUGGUGGGUCUCCCUCCUGUGUGAUGUGCUGCGCACCCCUUUUUGUUUGAGUGUGUUCACCUUUAUUUUCAGCGAGUGAGAGUGUCCACGUGUGUCUGGGGUGAUCCUUCAGAGGCCUUCAUUCCCCUUACUACCCGUGUCCCACCGAUGCCAGGGGAGAAGUAGCUCUGUCGCUGCUGCCUAUCCUGCUCCGUCCCCCUGUUUUCAAACACGGCAGGAAACUUGUCAGGGCCACUGUGGAGGAAUUGAAGAAAGCCUUCAUUGACGUUAUGCCUGUUGGAACUAACAUGGUGGAACACUUGGGGAAGCCCAGGGACUACCCUUACAUCCUGUUGCUGGGGGAUGGGAUACUUUGUUCCCAGGCCUUUGCCAUCAUCUGUGGAAAGGUUAUUGAGGCACAGACUGCUCUUGCAGCGGUGGACAUGUGCUUUAAGAGCUUCUACAUUUUUGAUACUCACUAUCCACCUGAAUGUGCACCUAAUUGGCAAUUCUUUCAGAGUGUCCUUUAUGAACUGGAGGGAACAGUUUCCCCAUCAGUGAACUUCAACACACCUGAAUCUCAUGAAGGUUCGUCACCAAGUUCAGCAGAAAGCCUGAUAACGAGCCUCAUUGCAAUCAACUGUGUUGAAGCAGGGCGACAUGGAAAACAUGCAGGUUUGUGGCCCUCGAGGACUGAAGUUUGAGACCCCUGCGAACAGCUUUCCUGUACUAAGAUGGCCAACCUCUGUGGACGUCGUGGAGUCUGCCUUAAAGCUCGUGUCCGGAGUUUCCGUUCGUUUCCAACGUAUGUAUCAUUUUUCAACAGAGCUUAAAUGUGUCAGUCUGGUUCGAUACUACAAUAU
Molecule: long non-coding RNA, 861 nt
Organism: Salarias fasciatus (jewelled blenny)
Lineage: Eukaryota; Metazoa; Chordata; Actinopteri; Blenniiformes; Blenniidae
Exons: 3
Source: RefSeq, a predicted model, not a curated record